Molecule: ribosomal RNA, 637 nt
Filed under: uncultured bacterium
Lineage: Bacteria
Description: bacterial SSU rRNA
Rfam family: Bacterial small subunit ribosomal RNA
Source: RNAcentral
GCUCAACUGAGGAAUUGCUUUGGAAACUGGAUGACUUGAGUGCAGUAGAGGAAAGUGGAACUCCAUGUGUAGCGGUGAAAUGCGUAGAUAUAUGGAAGAACACCAGUGGCGAAGGCGGCUUUCUGGACUGUAACUGACGUUGAGGCUCGAAAGUGUGGGUAGCAAACAGGAUUAGAUACCCUGGUAGUCCACACCGUAAACGAUGAGUGCUAGGUGUUUGAGGGUUUCCGCCCUUAAGUGCCGCAGCUAACGCAUUAAGCACUCCGCCUGGGGAGUACGACCGCAAGGUUGAAACUCAAAGGAAUUGACGGGGACCCGCACAAGCGGUGGAGCAUGUGGUUUAACUCGAAGCAACGCGAAGAACCUUACCAGGUCUUGACAUCCCUUGACAACUCCAGAGAUGGAGCGUUCCCUUCGGGGACAAGGUGACAGGUGGUGCAUGGUUGUCGUCAGCUCGUGUCGUGAGAUGUUGGGUUAAGUCCCGCAACGAGCGCAACCCUUAUUACUAGUUGCCAGCAUUCAGUUGGGCACUCUAGUGAGACUGCCGGUGACAAACCGGAGGAAGGUGGGGAUGACGUCAAAUCAUCAUGCCCCUUAUGACCUGGGCUACACACGUGCUACAAUGGCGUAUACAACG